This 7125-nucleotide long non-coding RNA is filed under the name Sus scrofa (pig). RNAcentral's name for it is "lncRNA (ENSSSCG00025024654.1)". Lineage: Eukaryota; Metazoa; Chordata; Mammalia; Artiodactyla; Suidae. The record is from RNAcentral.
CCAUGCUCACAGCAUGCAGAGGUUCCUGGCCAGGGAUCAAACCCAUACCAAAGCAAUGACCUGAGCCACAGCAGUGACAAUGCCUAUCCUUAACCCACUGAGCCAUCAGGAAAACUCCAAAACUAAUGUUUUUCAAAUAAAAAUUUUCUUGAUAUAGAAAGAUACAAUACACUAUGGUUAUAAAAUUAUAGUCAAUGCACCAAGAAAAUCAAGGACUUAGGAAAGAAAAACAGCCAAUUUUUGAAAGGAAAGGAGAAAAAAUUAUUUGUAGGUUUUGCUAUAGCUAAGGGAUGGAAGAAUGUGUGCUAGGAGUCACUAAUAAGUCCCUAAUGCACAUGUAAGUAAUAAUAUAAAAGCCAAGCAGGAAAGACUUGAAAAAAAGAUGCUAUCUAUUGUUACACAUUGCCUCUAACAAAUAAUUGCUAAAAAGCCUGCAUAUGGAGGACAGUAUUAUUUGCAUAUGAUCAAAAGAAUACUACUGAAUAACUGCAUUUUAAGUAACAUCUAAAACAAAAUGAAUACAUUUCCAGUGCUUCGAAAGAAAACCCCAUCCUGGAAAAAUUCCUGCUUUAUUUCUAUCUACAGAAAAAUUUUUCUGGAAGAUAUUUUAAAUACCAGCAUAAUAAUAGACACAUCACAAUUAUUUAUCUUCACUAUCUUCUUUACUAUUUAAGAUAAAAAGCCAAAGGACAGGUCUAUGAACACAAAAAGCAUAAAAAACAAUCCCUCUGUCAAUACUCGUAUUUACAAAAAGGCAUCUGAAUGGCCCACCAUCCAAAGUGCUCCCUGUAGCCCAGAAAUGGGAAUCACAAGUUUGACAGAUAACAGAACACUGCACACAUCUACUAAAGCUUUUGCUUUAUACUAAGAAUUUUAAGCCAGAAAAAUACUUCAAAUGGAGUAUAAAUGUAUUUGAUGUCAGGAGUUUAUUAUCUCAAUUCUAUAAACAGGAAGAUAGAAAUACAGUCUUGGAAUAUUUAAGAAUCAUUGGCGAACAUUAUCCCUUUCUCUUAUCCUAUCCUAUCCUCAGACUUUCAUUUUUUGUUACACAAGAAAUAUAUACACACAAGGCAUAUACUUAGAUGUUAUACAGUCAUCCAAAACUAAACACAUCCAAAACAUCUUUCCUAACACUCCUAUCAGUCAGCCAGACCGAUAUGUUCUCCGGUGUCCAAGUUUUUAAACUCCCCAUAAAUCUUUGACUUUUCUCUCUAGUCUGCUCACGUUAAAUCUUGUUCACUUUGAUUGUAUAAGAAAUUAUAACUGUUCAUUCAACACAACUGGAGUUUACAACCUAACUAUCUGGUAAUCAGUGUUUGCCUCUACCCUCAAUCUUUCCCAUUUAUCCUUUACUUUCUAGAAUCUUGUUUCUGAAGAGUUAUUUCCCAUGUCAUCCUUUGGCAAGGGCAGAUAAAGAAUUAUAUGAGUAAAAUUAGCAUUUCUUGAGUAUUUCUUAUAUCUCAAGAGCUCCUAUGUAUUUUCUCAUUAUCACAUUCAAUCUCUCUCAAGGUAAACGCGAAGUUAGUUACAUGGUGGGGGUAGUGAAAGGAAAGACAAAAUAUUUGUAUUAAAAAGUUAUUUCCUUAUCCUUCCUCACUCUUUUGAAUCUUAUUUUAAUUGAAUUGCCACUAAAUGGAUAUUACUUACUCAACCUAUAGACUUGUACAAGUGACAGAUUUUCUGAGUACACCUCUCUUUAUAUAUCAUAUUGCUUUUUGAUACUCCAAGACCUAGAAGAUUCAAUUGGUUCUCAACUCAACUCAAACAUUAAGAGCAGUAAUGUAUAUCUACUGAGCACCUACUAUGUACAAGGCACUUGGCUAUAUGUGUUCAUGCCUAAUUUCAUUUUAUCCGCACAACUAUUGCCUGAGGUUAAGCACUAUAAUUAUCUCCAUUUUGGAAAUUUAAAAAGCAACACAGAAAAGUCAUUAAGUCACUUCUCCAAGACAACCUACCUGAGAAGUAGUAAAACUGGGACUCAAAUCCAUGUAUGACUCUAAAACCCAUAUUCUGAAUGAUUCCUCUCUCAUGAGUGUAAAGCUCCCCCCACAACCUCCAUCUUACCUUAUUACUUUCACUUUUUCUUCUACUUUGGCAAAAAUUUGUCAUCCUUUACAUGUGACUUCCCUGAAAAGUCUAUUAACAGUCUCCCAAAAAUGAUCCAUUUCCUUUCCACCUUCAAAAUUCUACUUUAUUCUCUUCAUCUUAUAAAACCUUCUUAGAUUAGUACCAUCCAUUUCCAGUCUAGAUGAUACAGUGCCAGCCACCACUCCUGGCCUCUGUUCUCUCCAAAUAUUUCGUGCUUUGGUACAAAGAACUAGUGUUAUGUAUAUGUAUUCUUGUCACUUGACAUUAGCACAGUCCAAUUUAAUCUCACGAAGAACAAAGAACAGCAAGGUACAACACUAGCAAACAAUAGAUUUAAUUAUAUUUAUGUAGAUAACUUGGUUAUAUCCUAAGAAUGUGAUUUGAUGAGAGAUUUUUCAUAUCCCUGCAAAGUAUAUACUCUUAUCAUUUCCCAUUUGCAGCCCAAAUCUUCUGUUUACCUAAGUAUGUCUGGAGUUUCUGAUGAUACUAAGGAGAUAUAAUACAAGCACUACAAAUGAGAAGCUGUAGUUUAGUGUAGCAAUUGUUUAUGUGGAUUGCAAACGUUUCUUUAAAACUGUGAGAGAAACACUAUCUCUACAGUGUUCUUGAAAAAUAAAGGGAAGAGAAACAAAGAGAGGAUGGCACAGUCUGUUCUUCCUCAGAGUGCUAAAUACAUGGCAUUGGCACUGCUAUUGGAAUGUUUCCAUCUACCAUUGCAACUGGGCGGCACCAACCAAGAAUGCAUUCUUUAGCUGCUACCUUUUGGGAAAACUUAACAAAACAAACACCUUGAACAUUCUUGAGACCUUCACUAUUCUGAAAAACCAACUGCAGAACCAGUUCAAAUGACCCCUUAUUAAUCUUAAUUAAUACCAUCUAGAUUUCUUUUUAAGCAUAUUUUCAUUUUAACAUUUUUAAUGUAAGGUCGUACAGUCCAAAAUACAAAAAGUACAUUUUAAACUCCCUUUUGACCCCUAGCCUGGGAACCUCUAUAUGCCGUGGGUGCAGCCCUAAAAAGACAAAAGACAAAAAGAAAAAAGAAAAAAACAUACUCUGGAAACUAGUUCUAUAUUAGGGCAUAAAGAGCUUCAUCAUUCUCUUUUAUGGGUCGUAUAGUAUUAUAUUGAAUGAGGUAACAUACUUCAUUCAACCAGUUCCCUACUAAUGAACAUUUAGAUUAUUUCCAAGCUUAUAAUAAAUGCUAUAAUUAUUUUCAAAUACAUAAAAAUUUUUUACAUGCAAAUAUAUAUAAAAGCUUAAUUCUAAGAAUUGUAACUGCUGGGUCAAAGGAUUAAAAAAUUUCUUUUGUCAUUUAUUUAUUUUUUCUAGUUAUAUUUUCCCAGUGUUAUUGGGAAAUAUAUCACUGUAUAAGUUUAAGGUAUACAGCAUGAUGGUUUAAUUUACAUAUCUAGUAAAGUGAUUACUACAAUAGAUUCAAGCUAAUAACCAUCUUCUCAUAUCGAUCCAAUAAAAAGAUAAAAGGAAAAAAUUUUCUUCUCAUGAUGAAAACUCAUAGUAUAUACUCUCUUGACAACUUUCCUACAUAUCAUACAGCAGUGUUAGCUACAGUCAUGAUGUACAUUACCAAAAUUUUGAUAGAUAUUGCCAAAAAAGGUUAUAACAAUUUAUAUUUCCAACAGCAAUUUGUAAGACUGCCUGUCUCUACACCCCUUUCAUCGCUGUUACCAAACUUUUUGAUCUCUGCCAAUCUGAUAGAUUUUUUAAAAGGUGGUUCCGUGAAGUUUUACUUUGUUCUGACUCUUAUUCAGUAGAAUGGAGUGGUUAAGCGUGUGGGUUCUGGGGCUAUACCUCCUGGCUCUGCCACUCAUUUGGUUACGCAUUCACUGUGCAACGAUGGGCAAGUAACUUAACUUCUGUGCCUCUACUUCCUCAUAAAUCGGGUGGGGCAAUAGUAGUCCAAUUUCAAAUGUUCUUAUGAAAAUCAGGUGAGUUAAUACAUUUGAAGCACCUAGAAUUGUGCCUGGCACACAGUAAACACUUGCUAAACCAUAGUUAUUUUUAUCUUGAGUAAGGGUGGGCAAUUUUGUUUGCAUGUUUAAGAGUUAUUUGUACUGCUUUUUCUAAUUGUCUUUCCAUGCCUUUUGUCGUUGUUUUAUUGGAUUAGAAUCCAAAAUAUACAGAACUACUACAAAUCAAUAAAACAAGCCUAACAGAAAAGCAGGCAAAGGAUGUAAUAGGUCACGAAAAAAGUAAAAACUGGUCCAUUUUAAGUCUUAGCCACUAUCACAACAGCAUUCUCCCCUUAAAAACUUAUUGAAACGUGACACUUAAUGGAGUUUUUGCUUCCCUUACUCUCUCUCCAGCUACUUUUCUGAGUCUCAGUUCAUCUGUUUCUUUUCUCACAGAAAUUUUCCCAGACAUUCAUAACACUUGUCAGGCUCUGAAAUUAUUCUUAGUUAUUGACUUAUUUUUUUGUCUGUCUCUCUGUACUAAAGUGUAUGGUCUUUGAGGGUAGCAUACUCGUCAGACAUGUUCAGUGCUGUAUUCCCAGCACCUAGAAGAAUCUCUGGGUUAGACAAAGCAAGUAGUAUUUAUCUGAUUGAUGACACUGUUUAAAGUUAAAUUGAAACUAGAACCCUCAUAAAGCACAGAUAAGAAUAUAAAUGGUGCGGCCACUAUGGAAAAAAGUCUAGCAGUUCCUCAAAGAUUAACAUAGAGUUACCUUACCAUAUGACAUGGCAAUACCACUCCAAGGUAUACACCCCCAAAAAGUGAAAAUAUAUGUCCAUACAAAAACUUAUACUUGAAUGUUCCUUACAGCAUUAUUCAUAAUAGCCAAAAAAAGUGAAAUAACCCAAAUAUCCAUCAAUUGAUGGGUAGAUAAAUAAAAUAUUCAGUCAAUGGAAAACCAUUCUGCAAUUUAAAAAAAAUGAAAUAUUGAUAUAUGCUGUAACAUGGAAGAACGUUGAAAACAAAAUGCUGAGUCAAUUACAAAAGACCACAUACUGUAUGAUUUCACUGAUUUGAAAUGUCAAAAACAGGCAUACUGGAGUUCCCGUCGUGGCUCAGUGGUUCACGAACCCAGCUAGCAUCCAUGAGGACACGGGUUCAAUCCCUGGCCUCACUCAGUGGGUUAAGGAUCUGGUGGUGCCAUGAACUGUGGUGUAGGUUGCACAUGCAGUUCAGAUCCCGUGUUGCUGUGGCUCUGGCGUAGGCUGGUGGCCACAGCUCCGAUUAGAUCCCUAGCCUGGGAACCUCCAUAUACUAAAAGACAAAAAGACCAAAAAAAGCCCUAAAAGACAAAAAAGACCAAAAAAAAAAAAAAAAAAAAAAAAGGCAAACUUGGACAGAAAAGUAGGUUAGUGGUUGCCUAGAGCUAGGGGUGAGGAGAAAAUUGGAAGGAAAUGGGUAUGAGGCUUGUUUAAGGAAGUAAUGAAAAUUUUCUAAGAUUGAUUUUUGUGAUGGUUGCACAUUUCCGUGACUAUGCCUUAAAAAAAGUACUGGAUUUUCCACUUUAAGUGGAUGAACUACAUUAUGCGAAUUAUAUCUCAAUAGAGUUGCUAUUUUUUUAAAGUUAAAAUUUCGAUGUUUGACACUGAAGGAAUGGAGAUAUCACUACCACUUUACUGGAACUGAUGUGUGGAUUUGGGAAGAAAAGAAGAGGAGGAGGGAGGAAAAAAAAUCUCCUUUUUAGAGUGCUAAAGUCAUUCUAUUACCUAAAAAGAUCAUUCAUAGAUAAUCCAAUUUCAUUUUUUUUCUUCUCCAAACUGAUCUAGAACUGAAUAACCUCUGUCUUGUUUUCUCUUGUUCAAAGCUCUUCUUAUAAGACUCAUCUGCAGCAAAUGUGGAACCAGAUCUCCAUACACCAUUACUGUGUAAGCCUAACACUGCUUCUUGGCAUGAAGCUGAGACAGGGGAGGACAUCAGGAAAAGCCAGCAUUCAUUUGCGAGUUAUAACACUGAUGAGGAGUUCAGGUAGCAGGCAGGACUGUGUUCUGUUAUGCAACACCACUCUGGCACUUUCAUAGUAAUCUGAAAGCCACAUACAUUUUAUGGUCGCAAAUGCUCUAAUUCUUUCAUCUUUAAUAAAGAACCAUAGAUAAGAGGCUUUUUAAAUAUCAUUCUUAACCUUUUAAGCUACUGUUUUAUGAAAUAACUGAAGACCCUUUAUAGAUAUCCUAUAGUCAUCGCAAAUGUUCUCAGAGCAUUAAACUGAGUUUAGACAAAGUUGAUUUAUUUCUAAUGCCCUCAACCUAAAUCUUUCUGGUUUAAAGUACUCUGAAGGUUGCCUUCCAGAGCCAUGUUACAAAAAAUUCAGAGAAAGUAAGACUACAGUAAAUAAGAAAGGUACAGGAGUUCUCGUUGUGGGGCAGCAGAAACUAAUCCAACAUGGAACCAUGAGGUUGUGGGUUCGAUCCCUGGCCUUGCUCAGUGGGUUAAGGAUCCGGUGUUGCCAUGAGCUGUGGUGCAGGUCACAGAUGCAUCUCGGAUCUGGCAUUGUUGUUGCUCUAGCAUACGCUGGCAGCUACAGCUCCGAUUAGACCCCUAGCCUGGGAGCCUCCAUAUGCCUCAGGUUCGGCCCUAAAAAAAAGAAGAAGAAAGGUACAGGCCUUGGAGCCAGAUAAAUCUCAGUUUGACUCUAGCAUCGUCACUUACCAGCCAUAUAAUCUGAGGCCAGUAACCUAACUUUGCUAAUCCUUAGUUUUCUAACCCAUACAAUUAGAAAUGGAAUAAUACAAAUUUAUGGCGGUCUUAGGAGUCAGCAAGAAAAUGUAAUACUUUCUUCAUUACCAGCACAUUCUUGGUAUAUUGCAGGAACUUACUGCUGUAAAUACUAAUUUCUUCUCCCUAUUUAGUCCUCUUCCUAAUCAUACUUCAAUAAUGAGCACCAAAGGAUAAAGCUCAAAAGUAAUCUCUCUUAAGCCAAAUUGCAUGCUGAAGCAACACAGAGGCAAAAUCAUACAGUAGUUAAGAUGACACAGACUCUGAAACUUCCAGAAAUAAGAACAUAGCAGUGUAGAUAUUUCAAAAAUCUCACAAAACUUUGUCAUUAUAACCAGACAGAGCAAUCAGGAA